AGCAGCCGCGGUAAUUCCAGCUCCAAUAGCGUAUAUUAAAGUUGUUGCAGUUAAAAAGCUCGUAGUUGAAUUUCGGGAUUGACACAUCGGUCGUGCCUUAAGGGGUAUGAACUGGUGUAGUCAAUUUCUCACCUUCUGGAGAACCGCGAUGCCCUUAAUUGGGUGUCACGGGGAACCAGGACCUUUACUUUGAAAAAAUUAGAGUGUUUAAAGCAGGCAUUUUGCUUGAAUACAUUAGCAUGGAAUAAUAAAAUAGGACGGCAUGAUUCUAUUUUGUUGGUUUCUAGGAUCACCGUAAUGAUUAAUAGGGAUAGUUGGGGGCAUUAGUAUUCAAUUGUCAGAGGUGAAAUUCUUGGAUUUAUUGAAGACUAACUACUGCGAAAGCAUUUGCCAAGGAUGUUUUCAUUAAUCAAGAACGAAAGUUAGGGAUCGAAGACGAUCAGAUACCGU
RNAcentral lists this ribosomal RNA (450 nucleotides) under uncultured Glomeromycotina. RNAcentral describes it as "SSU rRNA". It matches the Rfam family "Eukaryotic small subunit ribosomal RNA", at positions 569 to 1018 of the family's 1831-position model. The record is from RNAcentral. Lineage: Eukaryota; Fungi; Glomeromycota.